CCUAGGCUACUAUGCAGAUUCAGGUAUUUUGCCGACUGUAGAGCUCCUCAUAGAGUCGCGAUAUAUUUAUAUUUUACUCUGCCGUUCUAAACAGCCUACUUAUUGUGGCUUGUUCAACCUGUACACAAUGAAAAUGCCUUUGUUGUGGAGGUGAAGGAUUAACAAUAGGGAAAAAUCUCCAAAGAGCUAUAUCUACUGACAAGGUGUACUCAGGUCUUGGAGCAGGUGCGGCUCCUCCUGCAGUAGAACUCCAUAGAACGCUGCUUUCGCCCCAGCUCCAGCUGAGCGCAGACACUCAUAGAUCUCUCGCAUCUUUGCCUCACUGGUGGCAGCUGCUCUGAUCUCUGAAUACUUCUCAGGGUGGACCAGUCCCUUGGAGAGCAGCGCAUCUGCGAUGGGCAUCACGUUAUACACCCUGCCAAUGAGCUCAGCUCUGUGCCUGUCCACAAACACUGCUGCCUCUGAAAUGAAAAAAUAAGAGAAGAAACACAAAGGAAAUAACUUACUGUGAAUUUUAAUUUGUCCAACUUUUGAAUUCAUGACCUAUGCUAUACGAGUAUGGAUAGAGAGUUCUGUAGAAGUUACUUGAAUAAAUGUCUGAAUAUUC
Molecule: long non-coding RNA, 607 nt
Organism: Alosa sapidissima (American shad)
Lineage: Eukaryota; Metazoa; Chordata; Actinopteri; Clupeiformes; Clupeidae
Exons: 2
Source: RefSeq, a predicted model, not a curated record